This 251-nucleotide ribosomal RNA is filed under the name uncultured Eubacteriales bacterium. RNAcentral's name for it is "uncultured Clostridiales bacterium partial 16S ribosomal RNA". It matches the Rfam family "Bacterial small subunit ribosomal RNA", at positions 88 to 339 of the family's 1533-position model. The record is from RNAcentral. Lineage: Bacteria; Bacillati; Bacillota; Clostridia; Eubacteriales.
AAACUUAGUGGCGGACGGGUGAGUAACACGUGAGCAACCUGCCUAUCAGAGGGGGAUAACGAUUGGAAACGAUCGCUAAUACCGCAUGACAUAGCGGAACCGCAUGGUUCUGUUAUCAAAGAUUUAUCGCUGAUAGAUGGGCUCGCGUCCGAUUAGAUAGUUGGUGGGGUAACGGCCUACCAAGUCGACGAUCGGUAGCCGGACUGAGAGGUCGAACGGCCACAUUGGGACUGAGACACGGCCCAGACUCC